RNAcentral lists this ribosomal RNA (468 nucleotides) under uncultured bacterium. Its description in RNAcentral is "partial 16S ribosomal RNA". It matches the Rfam family "Bacterial small subunit ribosomal RNA", at positions 28 to 507 of the family's 1533-position model. The record is from RNAcentral.
GACGAACGCUGGCGGCGUGCUUGACACAUGCAAGUCGAACGGAAAGGCCCUGCUUUUGUGGGGUGCUCGAGUGGCGAACGGGUGAGUAACACGUGAGUAACCUGCCCUUGACUUUGGGAUAACUUCAGGAAACUGGGGCUAAUAUCGGAUAGGAGAUAUUGCUGCACGGUGGGGGUUGGAAAGUUUCGGCGGUUGGGGAUGGACUCGCGGCUUAUCAGCUUGUUGGUGGGGUAGUGGCUUACAAAGGCUUUGACGGGUAGCCGGCCUGAGAGGGUGACCGGCCACAUGGGUACUGAGAGACGACGCAGACGCCUACGGGAGGCAGCAGGGGGGAAUAUGGCACAAUGAGCGGAAGCCUGAUGCAGCGACGCCGCGUGCGGGAUGACGGCCUUCGGGUGAUAAACCACUUUCGCCUGUGACGAAGCGUGAGUGACGGUAAUGGAUAAAGAAGCACCGGCUAACUACGUG